This 3931-nucleotide long non-coding RNA is filed under the name Canis lupus familiaris (dog). Its description in RNAcentral is "lncRNA (ENSCAFG00000054266.1)". The record is from RNAcentral. Lineage: Eukaryota; Metazoa; Chordata; Mammalia; Carnivora; Canidae.
AGGAAGUUCUCUAUAGCAAAUAAAAUAUUUUAAUAAAUUUAUUUAAAAUCUAAAUAUAAAAAAUUCUAAAUAGUCACUCUCCUUUAUGUUCCAAAUUGGAUAAACUUUAAUAUUGCUAGCAGUGCUAUCUCUAUCAGCUGAGAAAAUUUAUGAUCCAUAAACAAGUAUUCUAAGUACAGUAUUUAGGUACCAGACAAUGACCCACUUCCUAGAAAUCCACUUAAUAUUAUCCUGUUUCUAUUUUUUUAAUCUAUGGAGCACUGACUCAUGAAAGUUUCUCUCUAUAUGCUACAUGCAUAAAGAGACAUAAACUAAUGGCAAGAACACAUUUCUAUUUUAUGAAUUCACAAUUCUCAGGUUUCUUACAAAUGAGAAAUGAGAUUGAUUUACAUUUUUCUUGCAGUUCUUAUUUUGACUGUCAGCAAAAACUGACUUGUGCUAUUACUGCAAAGUUUUUGUCAAAAUGCCAUCAAAAUGUACACAGGCCAUCCACUAUUAAAACAUCUAUUUUUUAAAAUUUUUAUUUAUUUAUGAUAGUGACAGAGAGAGAGAGAGAGAGAGAGAGAGAGAGGCAGAGACACAGGCAGAGGGAGAAGCAGGCUCCAUGCACCGGGAGCCCGAUGUGGGAUUCGAUCCCGGGUCUCCAGGAUCGCGCCCUGGGCCAAAGGCAGGCGCCAAACCGCUGCACCACCCACGGAUCCCAAAACAUCUAUUUUAAAUAUUUACAUAAUAAAGCAUCAAUAACAACAGUUUGUCUGAGACUAUGCAGUGUCUUUUUAGUAAUUCACUACAAUUUGCAUACUGAGUUAUUUCCUGAAUAACUUGUAAUUCAGAUCCACCUGUGUUAGGUUCAAAGAAAUAAUUCCAUAUUUUUGUUAGCACAUUUUGAUGAGUAGAUGAGAUAAUUUUUUUUUGUUCAAGUUGCUACAGACUUUAAUCAUCAUUUUUCUUCUUUCUAUCUUUACUAUUGUCUAUUUUUUCAUUUUCAAAGCACUAACACACUUACACAGUAAUUCUUUUAUGAAUUACUUCAAUUAUUCAAUUAUUUCAUUCAAUUAUUUCAAUUGAAUUUCAUUCAAUUAUUUUUGAAUGCUCCCUAUAUUAGUGGCACAAUCUUAAACAUUAUAAAGGAAUAACAAUUUGAGGAAGUCUUUUUUUUAAGAUUUUAUUUAUCUAUUCUUGAAAGACACAGAGAGGCAGAUACACAGUCUUCCUCCUUCCCUUCCCCGCAGGUAGCCUGAUGCAGGACUGGAGCCCAGGACCCUGGGAUCACAACCUGAGCCAAAGGCAGAUAGAUGCUCAACCACUGAGCCACCCAGGGACUCCGGAAUUGAGGGAAAUCUUAACAUUUUAUAUACACAAUGAGACAUAUGUAAGACUGGUCAAUCAUAAUGCCAUAAACAACCUCUUCCCAGGAAUCUUACCCUUCUUGCCACCUGAACCUCUGACUAAUCUCAAUAAUUUGUCAUUCAUACUACUUGGUUCAUAGACUUGGUCCCAGGCCACCGAUUUCUCAUCACUAUUGGUAAUAUAUUCUCAUCCCUCUGCUUCCUUUUCCCUUUAUCAUAUAGGCUUGAAAAACAGGUGUUUCCUGUUUUUGUUUUUUUUUCUCUUAGGGGUAAGGAUAGGUAAAGAGGAAGAAGCUAAAGCUUAGCUUUUACAAUUUUAAAAGAAGUGAUUUUGAAAGUCUUUGGUCUAACCUCUAUUUUAAAUAUCAUAUUCAUAUAAGUACACACAAGUACAGACUGACAGAGUCAUAACAAACAAUAUAGAAUAAAGUAAAAGGGAAUAACAGAAGAACCCACUGUUCUCUGCCUCAAUAAUAACCACAAAAAUUAUGACAUGGGUACACUUAAACACUUAAAUAACCGCAAUAGCUAUGGGUAGCCUGAAUGAAUCCAAAAGUUGCCACAAAAUAAAGCUAUCAAGUUAUGCAUAUAAAGGCUACAAUAUGAAGAAAAAUAUGAAAAUGUCCUUAUAAAAGGAGAAAAGUUCUACUUAGGAUAAUCAGGUAAUAACCCUAAAGGAGAUACUAGCUGGCCUACCAUUUGAUGAAGAAAUAGCACAGAGAAAACACUUUCUCCAUUCCAACCAGAAGGGAAAACAGGGAGGUGGGCUAAAUUAAAGCUCAAUCUGAUAGUCUAGGAAGGUAGGGCAUUCAUUGAAAAAUAUGUGAGGUCAGAUUUCAAAGAAAUUAAAAGUGAUUUUAAAGGGGUGCCUGGGUGGCUCAGUGGGUUAAAUGCCUGCCUUCAGCUCAGGUCCUGAUCUCCGAAUCCUGAAUCCUGGUUUCCAGCCUGCAUCAGACUCCCUGCUCAGCGGAGUCUUCUUCUCCCUCUUCCUCUGCUCCUCCCCCUGCUCGUGCUCUCCUGUCUCUCAAAUAAACAAAUGAAAUCUUUAAAAAAAAAUUGAUUUUAAAGAUUUUAGUCUUUUCCUGGCAAUGCAUAAAAAAAAAAUCAGAGUUGAGUCGAGAUGUAAGAUUAUCAAAAUAUGUCUUAGGUGUUAAUAUUCUCAAAAUUUCUUCUGCUGAUACCCAAAUAUCACCCUAAAGUUUACAACUUAAUUUUUUGAAAAGAUAACAUGAAUGACUUAACUCACAUUUUGUGUAAAGCUCUGAUAAGCUACUUUGACUUACCUGAAUCUAAUCAGUAGUGGUAAAAGGAAAAUUUUAGUUUAAGGCUGCCCCUCAAAUAGGGGCUGAAGACUUGGCAGUUUCACAUUGGAGGAAUUAUGGGCUAUGGCAGAACGUUAUUCACAUGUUGAAUGAAAGUAGCAAAAUAUAGUGUUAGAUGUUACAUAGUAGUGUGGGAGAGAUUCAUUGUUGACAUAUUCUAGAAAGUUCUAGGGAAGACCUACACAAAGAUUAGGACAAACUAGAAUUUGCUUGAUGCUAGAGAUCAUUUUAUUCUUUGUAUGAAGUUCUGGUUAAAAAAAUGAAGUGGACUCAACACACAAUUGUUUAAAAGAGGUUGAAAAGAUAACCAGACUGAAAUGCUCUAACUUGAAGCUUCUCUCAAUAUUUUGAUGCCCUUUUGAGGGAAUUAGUGAAAAAAAGCACCAUUUAUAAUUAUGCAGAAAGCACAAGAGUUAGACAACUUAGAAUAAGUCAUCAAAGACAAAAUAUUGUCUUACUUCCUCUGCUGUAUUAUUUGUCAAGGUAGUACAAGAGGGUACAAGUGAUUUACCAUAAUCUGCAUUUUCUCUCCAUUUUUUUUUUUUUACUCCCUAGUUAACUAUAUCAAUUUCUAGCCAAUGGAUUGUGAUUUUGAGGCCUAGACAUAUCUGGUCCCUUCUACUCCCAAACUUGCUUUUCCAGGCUUUUCUGUCUUUUGCUGUCUUUCCAAGAUCCUCUGACUUCACUUUAUCAAAUAUGAAAAAUGCAAAAAAAGAAAAAUAAUAUUAAAUUUGCAGGUUUAAGACCUGUAAACAAUGAGGAUAGUAAAUUACCUGUUCAAUAGGUAUAUGACAAGCAAUUGUGAACAUCUAUGGAGAAAGCACAGAGAACCAGAAAAGCUAUGUUGCCUACUCAUGUUAGGUAUAAUGGCAUACCAAUAUUACCUUCAUAACAUUUUUACAUAAAUAGAUUUCUCAAUUAUAGGGGUCUAAACCAAGAAAACAAGAAAUUGUGUUUUAUUUUCACAUUAAAUAGUUUGAUUUUAAAUGUUAGUAAUAAUUUCAGUUGUCAUUUCAGUUGUACAAGAAAUCAUUAACUUAAUAAAGAAUUUUAAUAGAAAAACAUAUUCCUUUUAACUCAGCAGUCUCCCAAUAAACCUAAUUCACUAAAAAUUAGAGGCUGUAAUUUAUAAGAGCACUUAUCAAGAUGAAUCACUUCUAGAUGUAAUUACCCUCAUUUAUUGAAAGUUAUGGAAAAAAUGUGAAGGCAUUUUUUUUUUUUUGACUGAAAGAAGUCUGUUGGGGAGAAUUAGAUCCUCAA